CCUACGGGAGGCAGCAGUGGGGAAUAUUGCACAAUGGGCGAAAGCCUGAUGCAGCCAUGCCGCGUGUGUGAAGAAGGCUCUAGGGUUGUAAAGCACUUUCAGUAGGGAGGAAAUGUUAACGAUUAAUACUCGUUAGCUUUGACGUUACCUACAGAAGAAGCACCGGCAAACUCCGUGCCAGCAGCCGCGGUAAUACGGAGGGUGCGAGCGUUAAUCGGAAUUACUGGGCGUAAAGCGCGCGUAGGUGGUUUGAUAAGCUAGCUGUGAAAGCCCCGGGCUCAACCUGGGAACUGCAGUUAG
RNAcentral lists this ribosomal RNA (300 nucleotides) under uncultured bacterium. Its description in RNAcentral is "bacterial SSU rRNA". It matches the Rfam family "Bacterial small subunit ribosomal RNA", at positions 338 to 630 of the family's 1533-position model. The record is from RNAcentral.